ACGACUUUGUACACAUGAAGUCACAGUAAACUGUGAAAUAUACUUAACAUUUUAAAUUGCUAGUUUAUCAUGUAAAAUGCCUCAUUCUAAUUUAGAAUACUUUCAAGAACCAGAGAAAAAAUACCGGUAUCGCUUCACUGGGGGACCUCUGGGAGAACACACCACGCUGUAUAAAUUCUCUCAGGAGGAAUCUUGUUGGAAAACGCAAAGAAAAAGAAACAUGAAAAAAAUAUAGAAAAAAGAUUUCCUUCCCUA
This is a long non-coding RNA of Camelus dromedarius (Arabian camel), 255 nucleotides long. RefSeq lists it as uncharacterized. NCBI's taxonomy places the organism in Eukaryota, Metazoa, Chordata, Mammalia, Artiodactyla, Camelidae. The record is from RefSeq and is a predicted model, not a curated record. The transcript has 3 exons.